GGGGCUGUGCUCGGAUAAACUUGGAGUCUGGUUUGUGAUGCUAACGGCUGAGACGCAGGGAGCAGAAGAAAUACAUGCAUGUUAACAAACGUGCACACACACACACACACACACACUGAACCCCUCGGCUGUAAACUGGCGCCCUCCCUUGAACCCUAAUGGCGCGUUUUGAGAGUGCGGCACUGAGAGGAAGGAGGGAGGAUGAAGUCAGUCGUGUACUUACUGCAUCAUCAUCAUUAGUGAUGAGGGAGGAAUGCAGCACAGCUCACAUUAACAGCCACCUUCUCUGCCCGUGACCUUGACACUUGGCAGAGAACGGACCUCAUUUCCCGACUAGUUGGGAAAAAUAAUUUCCCCACAAGCACAAAUCCAAUUUAAGUGUCUAUUUUAGCAUUCGUCCUGAAUCAUCCUCCCUCCCUGACUCUCUCCGUCUCUUCCCCACCUCUCGAGUGUCAUACCUGACACACAGGUUGUGGUGGUGGGGGGGGGGGGUCACAUUUCAUUUAGUGUGGAAUCUGUUCAAAUGCCAAGUGGUGGAAAUGUCAGCCGCAGUACAAGCACAGCCUCCCCAAUACGCACCUACUCUCUUAAAAUGGAAACCCGCCAUGCUAAUGUAUCUGUGCCCCCCCCCCCUGCAGGCUCAAAACACCGAGGACAGUGUGUGUGUGUGUGUGUGCCUGGAUUUAUGUACUCAGAUUCAUGCAGCCUGUAGUUUCACUACCAGGGAGGCUGGGUGGGUGUGUCUGUGUGUGUGUGUGUGUGUUUGUGUGUGUGUGUUUGUGCCCCCUCAUCUGCACUUGCAGCCUGCGCUUGAUGGAGUGAAGGCCAACGGUCCCUCUGAUGGAUGAAGAGAGGAGUGACCCCCGGAGCCUCCACGCCGAUCAGCGGCAACAUGCUGCAUCCUGCACAACGAAGAAGGCGGAGCUACGCGGACGCGUGCACGCAGGGAUUAGAGCUCUUCUUCCCUUCCGCAGUCACGGCGCGAUGACUUUUUUCAUUUUCUGGGCUUUUCUGAGGAGAGCUGACAGGGGGAACGUCUGAAAGGCCUCAUUCGUUUCUUUGGCGCCGGUGAGUUGGUGCAGAAGGCAAAGCAGGCCUUCAAAGUGAAGGAAGCCAGCCAGCGUGUGGCUCCUGCAGGCCACCACAGGGGUGUGAACGUGUGUGUGUGUGUGUGCGUGUGUGUGUGUGUGUGUGUGUGUGUGUGUGCAUGAAUGCAUUUGUGUACUGUACGUGCCCUCCUCAGCCUCCCAGGGUCUGACAUCCUCUCGGUGUAAACGCAAAGUAAAGCUAUACGCCGGCUUGUGCGUCUGAACCCAACCUGGAAAAAAAAACACAUUCAAAAGGAAAUGGUUCGGAUUUAUUUGUGAGAGGGGCUUUAUUCCAGCGUAACCCCUCCCCCCCCCCCUCCACCACCUUUCCUCACCCGGGAUCCGGCCGGGUGGCUGUGUGGCUGGGAACGCGGUAUCCGUGCGCAUCCUUUUCGCCCGUUUGUUGUGCGUUUGUGUUGGAACAGCUAUUGUCCGCAGUCGCUCCAGCAGGGGGCUUCACGGUGAAUUAUUCAUGUGAGAUUUGAAUACAUGCAAAUGGCUCCCUCCCCUCCGCUGGCACACAUCCAGGUUGCCCGUGGCAACGGCGCCUUCAAGAAGCAUCUUUUUCACCCCCCCCCUCUUCCUUCCUGCUCCUCCCUCCCUCCCCCCCACAGUGGCAUUGUUUCGACCGUUGCAAUACCCGGCUGGGUGGCUGGACACCGUGUGGUGGCAGAAUGUCCCAUAAUUCAUAGUCAAGGUCGUGCGGGCAGCGGCUCAGGAUGAGAGACUCGGGGAUGGAGGAUGGGCGGACGAAGGAAGGGGAACGCACUCACCUCGACGUUCACGUCCGCUCACGGCUACGCAACAGCGUCGCACAAAAUCUUUAACCUGUUAACGCAGCGUACCGAUACUCAAAUGUCUGGUUUAUUUCAUUUGAAACAGUUAUUGUGAUGGUUUAAAUUGUAGGUAUGAGAGUUUUAAGUUGCUUUGAUGAAAGUGCGUGUUGUUGUGUAUGUGAUGUAUUUUGUAUUAUUAUG
Long non-coding RNA from Gasterosteus aculeatus aculeatus (three-spined stickleback), 2065 nucleotides. The record is from Ensembl. NCBI's taxonomy places the organism in Eukaryota, Metazoa, Chordata, Actinopteri, Perciformes, Gasterosteidae.